This 666-nucleotide long non-coding RNA is filed under the name Homo sapiens (human). RNAcentral describes it as "HSALNT0081738". Lineage: Eukaryota; Metazoa; Chordata; Mammalia; Primates; Hominidae. The record is from RNAcentral.
UGGCAGCUUGGAGACCAGUAGAAUGAAAACCACAGGAACCAGGGGGAGGAAAUCCGUUGUGGGAGGGCACCAGCAUCACCCUAUUCUGAUCAGUUGUUUGAGUUUCUGAGGGAAAUCUCCUGACCAUUUUUCUUUCUGAGGCACAGUGUUUGGGGAACUUGCUAGGAGAAAGACCUUGAGAAUGGGGAGAGUGUGCUCCAGGACCUGGGAGUGCUGGAUGGCUUUCAUGACCAUCUUCGUACAGCGUGGACCAUGGCAAGAACUUAUUGGAGGUCUCAACGGCUGUUUGUUCACCCUGAGUCAUUCUACAGGACAUCUAUUUUGGCCUGCCCAGCACAUUUUUUCCUUUUAUGGUUAAAACAUCCCUCUGGAAAGUCAUCCCUGAGGCAAUGAGAACUUUCAGGAAUUCUCCCCACCACCACUACUGCCCAGCCACCCAUACCCAGGUCAUAUGGUCUCAGUGGGGAUGGCAGUCAAGGUGCCCAGCUCAGGAUAGGCGCUUUAGCUGCUUCAAGGGUCUGUUGUCUAAUGCCCAGGGACAGAUAGGUUAACCAACCUUCAUUCUGGUCCCAUAGCUUUGAAUUCAAGUAUGUUCUUGGCUCAGGCCAUGUUAUCUUGGGAAAGCUAGGAGCAAUAGAUGAAAAUGAAACUGGGCAAGAGAUGGUG